Molecule: ribosomal RNA, 496 nt
Filed under: uncultured bacterium
Lineage: Bacteria
Description: partial 16S ribosomal RNA
Rfam family: Bacterial small subunit ribosomal RNA
Source: RNAcentral
ACGAACGCUGGCGGCGUGCCUAAUACAUGCAAGUUGAGCGCUGAAGGUUGGUACUUGUACCAACUGGAUGAGCAGCGAACGGGUGAGUAACGCGUGGGGAAUCUGCCUUUGAGCGGGGGACAACAUUUGGAAACGAAUGCUAAUACCGCAUAAAAACUUUAAACACAAGUUUUAAGUUUGAAAGAUGCAAUUGCAUCACUCAAAGAUGAUCCCGCGUUGUAUUAGCUAGUUGGUGAGGUAAAGGCUCACCAAGGCGAUGAUACAUAGCCGACCUGAGAGGGUGAUCGGCCACAUUGGGACUGAGACACGGCCCAAACUCCUACGGGAGGCAGCAGUAGGGAAUCUUCGGCAAUGGACGAAAGUCUGACCGAGCAACGCCGCGUGAGUGAAGAAGGUUUUCGGAUCGUAAAACCCUGUUGGUAGAGAAGAACGUUGGUGAGAGUGGAAAGCUCAUCAAGUGACGGUAACUACCCAGAAAGGGACGGCUAACUACGUG